RNAcentral lists this ribosomal RNA (753 nucleotides) under Triticum aestivum (bread wheat). Its description in RNAcentral is "partial small subunit ribosomal RNA". Lineage: Eukaryota; Viridiplantae; Streptophyta; Magnoliopsida; Poales; Poaceae. The record is from RNAcentral.
AUGGCCUCGUCUUCUUCUUCGCCUCCACGGGAGCCUGCACGAGAAUCUGCACCGGCGCCUGCACUGGAGCCAGCAGAGCCGCCUGUACCGGCGCCUCCAGCGGAGCCUGCACCGGUACCUGUAGGACUGCCUGCACCACAGCGUGCAGCGGAGGCUGCAGCGCUGCCUCCGGCGGUGCCUGCACCCAAAUGGGUGAUGCCGUCCGUCUCGAACCUUGCGCAGCUCCUGCCGACGGGCACGGUGCUGGCAUACGAGGCGCUGUCCCCGACCUUCACCAACCACGGCAAUUGCAAUAUCGCCAACAAGGUGCUCACCGGGGUGAUGAUAUUGGUCCUCGCCAUCAUGUGCGUAUUCUUCUCCUUCACGGAUAGCAUCGUCGGCAGCCACGACGGGAAGCUCUACUACGGCGUCGCGACAUGGCAUGGCUUCAACGUGUUCAACUUCUCCGACGACCAAAAGAGGCAGGAAUGGACCGUUCUCGACUUCAAGAAGCUCCGCCUCCGGUGGCUGGACAUCGUCCAGGCCAUCUUCACGGCCGUGGUUUUCCUCACGGUGGCGUUCAGUGACGUGGGGCUGCAGAACUGCUUCUUUCCAAAACCCGGCGGAAAUACUCAGCAGGUGCUCAAGAUCCUGCCGCUGGGCAUGACGAUUGUGUCCAGCUUUGUGUUCACCAUCUUCCCCACCAAAAGAAAGGGCAUCGGCUUCAACGACAUCACUCCUCGCCAGACCGCAAGUCAAUCAAACGCAGUUUGA